UGCAGUCGAACGGUGAAGCAGAGCUUGCUCUGUGGAUCAGUGGCGAACGGGUGAGUAACACGUGAGCAACCUGCCCCUGACUCUGGGAUAAGCGCUGGAAACGGCGUCUAAUACUGGAUAUGUGACGUGACCGCAUGGUCUGCGUCUGGAAAGAAUUUCGGUUGGGGAUGGGCUCGCGGCCUAUCAGCUUGUUGGUGAGGUAAUGGCUCACCAAGGCGUCGACGGGUAGCCGGCCUGAGAGGGUGACCGGCCACACUGGGACUGAGACACGGCCCAGACUCCUACGGGAGGCAGCAGUGGGGAAUAUUGCACAAUGGGCGAAAGCCUGAUGCAGCAACGCCGCGUGAGGGAUGACGGCCUUCGGGUUGUAAACCUCUUUUAGCAGGGAAGAAGCGAAAGUGACGGUACCUGCAGAAAAAGCGCCGGCUAACUACGUGCCAGCAGCCGCGGUAAUACGUAGGGCGCAAGCGUUAUCCGGAAUUAUUGGGCGUAAAGAGCUCGUAGGCGGUUUGUCGCGUCUGCUGUGAAAUCCGGAGGCUCAACCUCCGGCCUGCAGUGGGUACGGGCAGACUAGAGUGCGGUAGGGGAGAUUGGAAUUCCUGGUGUAGCGGUGGAAUGCGCAGAUAUCAGGAGGAACACCGAUGGCGAAGGCAGAUCUCUGGGCCGUAACUGACGCUGAGGAGCGAAAGGGUGGGGAGCAAACAGGCUUAGAUACCCUGGUAGUCCACCCCGUAAACGUUGGGAACUAGUUGUGGGGUCCAUUCCACGGAUUCCGUGACGCAGCUAACGCAUUAAGUUCCCCGCCUGGGGAGUACGGCCGCAAGGCUAAAACUCAAAGGAAUUGACGGGGACCCGCACAAGCGGCGGAGCAUGCGGAUUAAUUCGAUGCAACGCGAAGAACCUUACCAAGGCUUGACAUAUACGAGAACGGGCCAGAAAUGGUCAACUCUUUGGACACUCGUAAACAGGUGGUGCAUGGUUGUCGUCAGCUCGUGUCGUGAGAUGUUGGGUUAAGUCCCGCAACGAGCGCAACCCUCGUUCUAUGUUGCCAGCACGUAAUGGUGGGAACUCAUGGGAUACUGCCGGGGUCAACUCGGAGGAAGGUGGGGAUGACGUCAAAUCAUCAUGCCCCUUAUGUCUUGGGCUUCACGCAUGCUACAAUGGCCGGUACAAAGGGCUGCAAUACCGCGAGGUGGAGCGAAUCCCAAAAAGCCGGUCCCAGUUCGGAUUGAGGUCUGCAACUCGACCUCAUGAAGUCGGAGUCGCUAGUAAUCGCAGAUCAGCAACGCU
This 1290-nucleotide ribosomal RNA is filed under the name Mycetocola sp. Its description in RNAcentral is "bacterial SSU rRNA". It matches the Rfam family "Bacterial small subunit ribosomal RNA", at positions 56 to 1358 of the family's 1533-position model. The record is from RNAcentral. Lineage: Bacteria; Bacillati; Actinomycetota; Actinomycetes; Micrococcales; Microbacteriaceae.